UCUUUUGGAAAAACUAGUGGUGGACA
This 26-nucleotide non-coding RNA is filed under the name Cricetulus griseus (Chinese hamster). Lineage: Eukaryota; Metazoa; Chordata; Mammalia; Rodentia; Cricetidae. The record is from RNAcentral.